RNAcentral lists this ribosomal RNA (330 nucleotides) under uncultured bacterium. RNAcentral's name for it is "bacterial SSU rRNA". It matches the Rfam family "Bacterial small subunit ribosomal RNA", at positions 568 to 898 of the family's 1533-position model. The record is from RNAcentral.
CGCGUAGGCGGCUUGCCAAGUCAGUGGUGAAAUCCCGCAGCUUAACUGCGGAAGUGCCUUUGAUACUGGCGAGCUCGAGGGAGGUAGGGGUAUGUGGAACUUCUGGUGGAGCGGUGAAAUGCGUUGAUAUCAGAAGGAACGCCGGUGGCGAAAGCGACGUACUGGACCUCUUCUAACGCUGAGGCGCGAAAGCUAGGGGAGCAAACGGGAUUAGAUACCCCGGUAGUCCUAGCCCUAAACGUUGGGUACUAGGUUGUGGACUAACAUGGGUUCACAGCCGAAGCAAAAGUAUUAAGUACCCCGCCUGGGGAGUAUGGUCGCAAGGCUGAA